Molecule: long non-coding RNA, 466 nt
Filed under: Cavia porcellus (domestic guinea pig)
Lineage: Eukaryota; Metazoa; Chordata; Mammalia; Rodentia; Caviidae
Description: lncRNA (ENSCPOG00000037052.1)
Source: RNAcentral
GAAUCCACCCCCCCCACCCCCUCACACCCCCCCCCCGCCACACACACACACACACACACACACACACACACACACACAUUGAGACCAAAAGGGCUGCAAACAGGAAACUCAGACCAGAGAGCUGCUGCUGGCUGUGGGGUGGCAGCCCAAGCUCACACAGGAGAACGACACUCUCAAAGGUGCUGCUCCCUCUGCCCCUGUGAGCUGCGGGUGCCAGGGCCGGCUUCCUGGGAACUGCCCUGAAAUUGAGCAGCUCCUGGUCCACAGGAGGCACCCAGCUGCUUCCCACCUUGAAGAUUUCUCCUGGCCCUCGGCUAUUGAAGGACCCCGGGAGCCUGCCGCGAGGAGGUGUGGACAGGGACAGUGCGGGCAGCCCUGUGGCACACCUCCUUGCUGUCCUGCAUGCCCCCUCUCCAGCCUGGGGAGUUCACAAAACACUUCAGCUGAGAUGCAAACAGAAGCCUGA